UGGCGAACGGGUGAGUAACACGUGGGUAACCUGCCCAUCAGAAGGGGAUAACACUUGGAAACAGGUGCUAAUACCGUAUAACAAUCGAAACCGCAUGGUUUUGAUUUGAAAGGCGCUUUCGGGUGUCACUGAUGGAUGGACCCGCGGUGCAUUAGCUAGUUGGUGAGGUAACGGCUCACCAAGGCCACGAUGCAUAGCCGACCUGAGAGGGUGAUCGGCCACAUUGGGACUGAGACACGGCCCAAACUCCUACGG
Molecule: ribosomal RNA, 255 nt
Filed under: Enterococcus faecium
Lineage: Bacteria; Bacillati; Bacillota; Bacilli; Lactobacillales; Enterococcaceae
Also listed under: 1 other name
Description: partial 16S ribosomal RNA
Rfam family: Bacterial small subunit ribosomal RNA
Source: RNAcentral